RNAcentral lists this ribosomal RNA (443 nucleotides) under Klebsiella pneumoniae. Its description in RNAcentral is "bacterial LSU rRNA". It matches the Rfam family "Bacterial large subunit ribosomal RNA", at positions 793 to 1233 of the family's 2925-position model. Lineage: Bacteria; Pseudomonadati; Pseudomonadota; Gammaproteobacteria; Enterobacterales; Enterobacteriaceae. The record is from RNAcentral.
AAAAUUAGCGGAUGACUUGUGGCUGGGGGUGAAAGGCCAAUCAAACCGGGAGAUAGCUGGUUCUCCCCGAAAGCUAUUUAGGUAGCGCCUCGUGAAUUCAUCUUCGGGGGUAGAGCACUGUUUCGGCUAGGGGGGUCAUCCCGACUUACCAACCCGAUGCAAACUACGAAUACCGAAGAAUGUUAUCACGGGAGACACACGGCGGGUGCUAACGUCCGUCGUGAAGAGGGAAACAACCCAGACCGCCAGCUAAGGUCCCAAAGUCAUGGUUAAGUGGGAAACGAUGUGGGAAGGCACAGACAGCCAGGAUGUUGGCUUAGAAGCAGCCAUCAUUUAAAGAAAGCGUAAUAGCUCACUGGUCGAGUCGGCCUGCGCGGAAGAUGUAACGGGGCUAAACCAUGCACCGAAGCUGCGGCAGCGACACUAUGUGUUGUUGGGUAGGG